CCAGGAUGGACAGUGGCCUGGCCCUGGGGCAGGUGUGGCCCCUCAGUGAACUGACCCUUCUCUGCUUCUUUGGGGUCUCUACUGGGCCUGAGUCUGGGGUUCCCUGAUUUUUCUAGUUUGGGUAAAAGCCAAAUUUUGUGAGCAUAUUAAAGAGUGGAUGCUGUGAGUGCAACGCACUCUUCAUCGCCACCUUGUGGUUGAGGCGGUGACAGGACAUCAGGAAGAUCGCCCAGAAACUGCAGAGUGAGAGCCACUCAGCGAAGCACAGCCGGUUUCAGGGAGGGGAAGGAUGGACACGAG
This 300-nucleotide long non-coding RNA is filed under the name Homo sapiens (human). RNAcentral's name for it is "HSALNT0279374". The record is from RNAcentral. Lineage: Eukaryota; Metazoa; Chordata; Mammalia; Primates; Hominidae.